This 73-nucleotide transfer RNA is filed under the name Chloroflexota bacterium. RNAcentral describes it as "Chloroflexi bacterium tRNA-Ala". Lineage: Bacteria; Bacillati; Chloroflexota. The record is from RNAcentral.
GACCUGGUGGCAGAGUGACUAUGCACUUCCCUUGCCCGGGGAGAGAGGUUGGGUUCAAAUCCCACCCAGGUCU